GACGAACGCUGGCGGCGUGCCUAAUACAUGCAAGUCGAACGCAGUGGGGACGGGUGAGUAACACGUGGGCAACCUCCCAUCAGAGGGGAUAACACUUGGAAACAGGUGCUAAACUGAUACCGGUGGCUGGACCCGCGGGGGAUUGGCUAGUGGGUGAGGUAACGGCUCACCAAGGCCACGAGGCAUAGACGACCUGGGAGGGGUGUCGGCCACACUGGAAGUGGGACACGGCCCAGACUCCUACGGGAGGAAGCAGUAGGGAAUCUUGGGCAAUGGACGAAAGUCUGACCGAGCAACGCCGCGUGAGUGAAGAAGGUUUUCGGAUCGGAAAACUCUGUUGUUAGAGAGGCGGUAUCUAACCAGAAAGCCACGGCUAACUACGUGCCAGCAGCCGCGGUAAUAC
RNAcentral lists this ribosomal RNA (403 nucleotides) under uncultured bacterium. RNAcentral's name for it is "partial 16S ribosomal RNA". It matches the Rfam family "Bacterial small subunit ribosomal RNA", at positions 28 to 526 of the family's 1533-position model. The record is from RNAcentral.